This 320-nucleotide long non-coding RNA is filed under the name Physcomitrium patens. RNAcentral describes it as "long non-coding RNA (PPAT_LNC000385)". Lineage: Eukaryota; Viridiplantae; Streptophyta; Bryopsida; Funariales; Funariaceae. The record is from RNAcentral.
CUGACUGUCUUGUUAAAUUAAUCCAAAAAUUUUCAUUCACUCUGCAUACUCAAUCCUAUAGACACCCUUUUAAUUCUUCAAUCCCAGACAUAACUUUGAUUUCACAAAAUAGUCAAGAGUAAUCACACACACUUCAUUAAAAAUCCCGAUUCACCAUUACAACACUGAUUUCAGCAACGAUUGCCUCAAUCUUCCCAAAAUCCUAUGAAGAAAAAAAAAAUCCCAAUUAUCUGUCUUUUUUUCCCCGCCCCGAAGCAUGAAGCUAGCUCUCCAACCCUUCUUCAAAAACCUUAUUCUCUCCCUUUUCAUUUCUUAACCUA